RNAcentral lists this transfer RNA (58 nucleotides) under Macropostrongyloides baylisi. RNAcentral's name for it is "tRNA-Thr". Lineage: Eukaryota; Metazoa; Nematoda; Chromadorea; Rhabditida; Strongylidae. The record is from RNAcentral.
GCUAUUUUAGUUUAAAUUAAAGAAUAUAUAACUUGUAAUUAUAGGGUUUAAGUUAGCA